RNAcentral lists this ribosomal RNA (429 nucleotides) under Gemmatimonadota bacterium. Its description in RNAcentral is "Gemmatimonadetes bacterium partial 16S ribosomal RNA". It matches the Rfam family "Bacterial small subunit ribosomal RNA", at positions 355 to 776 of the family's 1533-position model. The record is from RNAcentral. Lineage: Bacteria; Pseudomonadati; Gemmatimonadota.
UAGGGAAUCUUCGGCAAUGGACGAAAGUCUGACCGAGCAACGCCGCGUGAGUGAAGAAGGUUUUCGGAUCGUAAAACUCUGUUGUUAGAGAAGAACAAGGACGUUAGUAACUGAACGUCCCCUGACGGUAUCUAACCAGAAAGCCACGGCUAACUACGUGCCAGCAGCCGCGGUAAUACGUAGGUGGCAAGCGUUGUCCGGAUUUAUUGGGCGUAAAGCGAGCGCAGGCGGUUUCUUAAGUCUGAUGUGAAAGCCCCCGGCUCAACCGGGGAGGGUCAUUGGAAACUGGGAGACUUGAGUGCAGAAGAGGAGAGUGGAAUUCCAUGUGUAGCGGUGAAAUGCGUAGAUAUAUGGAGGAACACCAUUGGCGAAGGCGGCUCUCUGGUCUGUAACUGACGCUGAGGCUCGAAAGCGUGGGGAGCAAACAGG